RNAcentral lists this ribosomal RNA (252 nucleotides) under uncultured bacterium. RNAcentral's name for it is "partial 16S ribosomal RNA". It matches the Rfam family "Bacterial small subunit ribosomal RNA", at positions 524 to 775 of the family's 1533-position model. The record is from RNAcentral.
UACGUAGGGUGCGAGCGUUGUCCGGAAUUAUUGGGCGUAAAGAGCUUGUAGGCGGUUUGUCGCGUCUGCCGUGAAAGCCCAGGGCUUAACCCUGGGUCUGCGGUGGGUACGGGCAGACUAGAGUGUGGUAGGGGAGACUGGAAUUCCUGGUGUAGCGGUGAAAUGCGCAGAUAUCAGGAGGAACACCGAUGGCGAAGGCAGGUCUCUGGGCCACUACUGACGCUGAGAAGCGAAAGCAUGGGGAGCAAACGG